RNAcentral lists this ribosomal RNA (413 nucleotides) under uncultured eukaryote. Its description in RNAcentral is "bacterial SSU rRNA". It matches the Rfam family "Eukaryotic small subunit ribosomal RNA", at positions 592 to 1017 of the family's 1831-position model. The record is from RNAcentral.
CAAUAGCGUAUAUUAAAGUUGUUGCAGUUAAAAGCUCGUAGUUGGAUUUCUGGUGGAGAAGCUCCGCCCUCACGCGAGUGCGCGGAGGCUCUCUACCAUCCUUCUGUUAACCCUCGUGGUCCUUUAUUGGAUGCUUGGGAGCCCAGAUAUUUUACCUUGAGAAAAUUAGAGUGUUUCAGGCAGGCUUUCGCCGGAAUACAUUAGCAUGGAAUAAUGGAAAAGGACUUCAACCUCUUCUGUUGGUCUGAGAGGCUGUAGUAAUGAUUAAUAGGGAUAGUUGGGGGCAUUAGUACUUAACUGUCAGAGGUGAAAUUCUCCGAUUUGUUAAAGACUAACUUAUGCGAAAGCAUUUGCCAAGGAUGUUUUCAUUAAUCAAGAACGAAAGUUAGGGGAUCAAAGACGAUCAGAUACCA